ACCUGCCGUUCACGGAGGCCUUUGACAGAGCCAAGGCUGAGAACAAACUCGUUCAUUCCAUCUUGCUGUGGGGAGCCCUGGACGACCAGUCCUGCUGAGGUUCCGGGCGGACUCUCCGGGAGACUGUCCUGGAAAGCCCGCCCAUACUCACUCUCCUCAAUGAGAGCUUCAUCAGUACCUGGUCCCUGGUGAAGGAGCUGGAAGACCUGCAGGUCCAGCAGGAGAACCCGCUCCACAGGCAGCUGGCAGGCCUGCACUUGGAGAAGUACAGCUUUCCUGUGGAGAUGAUGAUCUGCCUGCCCAACGGCACAGUGGUCCACCACAUCAACGCCAACUACUUCCUGGACAUCACCUCCAUGAAGCCUGAAGACAUGGAUAAUAAUGUCUUCAGCUUCUCAUCCACCUUUGAGGACCCGUCCACAGCUACCUAUAUGCAGUUCCUGAGGGAGGGACUCCGGCGUGGCCUGCCCCUCCUCCAGCCCUAGUGUGCCUAGUCCCUAGAGAUCCUGGACCUGGUGACAACCUGGCAGACAGAAUCCAUGAACCUUGGAGCCACUGUACCCUGAGUCCAUGUCAGACUGGAAGUGGUCCCCACCUCAUCUCCAGGCUGCCUAAAGAGGUCCAAGGUCAACCGAGGCUGCCACCUUCAUGUAGCCUGACAGAGGGUGGUGAGAAGAGGGGACCCGCCUGCCUGGCGACUCAGCUUAAGCCUGCUACCACUAGAAGCUCAUCUGGUUCCAAGAACUUCUUCAAGUUCCCUCAAAAAGGGUCUGGAGAGACCUCCCUGCAACUUCCACACAGUGACAUAGUUCAGGACCUCAGCGUGGAUAAGGAGUGGGCUGGAAAAGUAGACGGUUCCUCUUUUCUAGGCUCCCCUUUCAAGCCAAAGGAAUCAAAAGAGUUUGGCCCAAGGGACCAGGCUGGCAGCCUUAUGCCUGCUUGGAGCCUUCUAUGCUGGCCAUCCCCUGGGUAGCCUUCUGUGCACAGUACCCCCAGCUGGGUUGUCAGCUGGAGACAGCUGUCUGGAGCCUGUGCACAGAGCCCCUCUACAGAAGUGGAGACCAUAGUGUCACACCGCUCUCCUUCAGCCCACUGACCUGAUGACCCCAGCCCAGGCCUGUUCGGGGAGUUGGAGAAGUUCACACUGUGAAGUAGGUUGCGAUAGGUUCCUGCCACCUGACCCCUAUUCCACAGAAGUGUAGCCCCAAAGAGGGCAGCCUUUCUUAUUGCCAGCACUGUCUAGGCCCCCAGGGUACUGCUGGUCAACUCCCUUACCAUGGGAUGGCCACUAGCUACUUUUGGGGACUUGGUGAACAUCUCUACCAUGGCCAGUCUUUUUUAUGCAUACAGAAAAGUGUUUUUAUAAGAACUUUCUCACAGUUUAUAUUUUUUAAAACUCUGCUGAGGAGAAAGAAGGGGGCAGUGGCUUCCCCUAGCAGCAGCCGCAUGAUGGCUGGGUCUGAAAUCCCAAAUGGACCCAGCUUGAUGUCCUCGCAGUUGCACACGGGGAGAAAAUAAGCCCAUCUUUCUUCUCUUCCAACUUUUUACAGUCAAGGCUCAGUAUUUCCCAGCUCUGUCCUGUGCCCCACACUCCCAAGAACCGCCUUGACCUCAGUCUCAUCAGAGCCUUCUUGACAUCAGCCAGGUCCCUGGGUGCCAUUUCUUUCCCCGGAGUCAGACUUCAACCGUGGAGAGGAGGAAGGAACGUAGACUUUCCCUAAGUCCUUCUCCCCUGCCUGCCCCUGGAAUCACCAGAGAGCCCCCUCACACUCUCUGGCUCCCAAGAGUCUUGUCUCUGGGGUGCCCUGUGAUGAUCACGUACAUUUUCUUAUAACAAACCAUGAAUUGGAAAAUCGCCCCCAUUUUCAGAGGAAGACAUUGGAGUCUUAGGGAAGCAAAGUGACUUCCCAGGGUCACUCAGAGGACCAGAGUUUUGAUCCUAACCCACAUGACUCUAAAGGCUAUGUCUCAGUUUUGGGGGGUGCCCUGGCUCAUUUCCCCCUGUGGUGGGAAGGAAAUCUUUUCAAAUCAUGUCUUCUGAUCAGACUAAACAGAGCAGGUGUCAAUAGCUCUGCCAGGUUCUCUGAGCAGUCCUAUGGAAAGUACUGAUUGCUGGGGCUUUCUGAGUCUUCAUCAGAUGGCUCUGCACACCCCCAGCUGCCAUCUUGUCACCCCCCCCCGCCUUUCUUCCCCCAUCCCCAGCAUGUCCUGUAAUAAAAUUGGAGAGCCUGAGGUA
This is a long non-coding RNA of Grammomys surdaster, 2236 nucleotides long. RefSeq lists it as uncharacterized. Lineage: Eukaryota; Metazoa; Chordata; Mammalia; Rodentia; Muridae. The record is from RefSeq and is a predicted model, not a curated record. The transcript has 4 exons.